RNAcentral lists this ribosomal RNA (449 nucleotides) under uncultured bacterium. Its description in RNAcentral is "partial 16S ribosomal RNA". It matches the Rfam family "Bacterial small subunit ribosomal RNA", at positions 30 to 523 of the family's 1533-position model. The record is from RNAcentral.
AUUGAACGCUGGCGGAAUGCUUUACACAUGCAAGUCGAACGAGACCUUCGGGUCUAGUGGCGCACGGGUGCGUAACGCGUGGGAAUCUGCCCUUAGGUACGGAAUAACUCAGAGAAAUUUGUGCUAAUACCGUAUGAUGUCGAAAGACCAAAGAUUUAUCGCCUAAGGAUGAGCCCGCGUAAGAUUAGCUUGUUGGUGAGGUAAAAGCUCACCAAGGCGACGAUCUUUAGCUGGUCUGAGAGGAUGAUCAGCCACACUGGGACUGAGACACGGCCCAGACUCCUACGGGAGGCAGCAGUGGGGAAUAUUGGACAAUGGGCGAAAGCCUGAUCCAGCAAUGCCGCGUGAGUGAUGAAGGCCUUCGGGUUGUAAAGCUCUUUUACCAGGGAUGAUAAUGACAGUACCUGGAGAAUAAGCUCCGGCUAACUCCGUGCCAGCAGCCGCAGUAA